GAUGAACGCUGGCGGCGUGCCUAAUACAUGCAAGUCGAGCGAACAGAUGAGGAGCUUGCUCCUCUGACGUUAGCGGCGGACGGGUGAGUAACACGUGGAUAACCUACCUAUAAGACUGGGAUAACUUCGGGAAACCGGGGCUAAUACCGGAUAAUAUAUUGAUCCGCAUGGUUCAAUAGUGAAAGGCGGUUUUGCUGUCACUUAGAGAUGGAUCCGCGCCGCUUUGUCUAGUUGGUAAGGUAACGGUUUUCCACGGCGACGAUGCGUAGCCGACCUGUGAGGGUGAUCGGCCCCACGGGCACUGAGCAACGGUCCUGACUCCUAAGGGAGGCAGAAGUAGGGCAUGUUCCGCACUGGGCGACAGCAUGACGGAGCCACCCCGCGCGAGUCAUGAAGGUCUUCGGACCGUCAGACUCUGUCAUUAGGGAAGGACCAAUGUGUAACUAAGUAUGCACGGCUUGACGGUACCCAAUCAGAAAGCCACGGCUAACUACGUG
Molecule: ribosomal RNA, 497 nt
Filed under: uncultured bacterium
Lineage: Bacteria
Description: partial 16S ribosomal RNA
Rfam family: Bacterial small subunit ribosomal RNA
Source: RNAcentral